This is a non-coding RNA of Acanthosepion pharaonis, 113 nucleotides long. Lineage: Eukaryota; Metazoa; Mollusca; Cephalopoda; Sepiida; Sepiidae. The record is from the annotation of a GenBank genome assembly.
UUAUGGCCAUAUCAUGUUCAAACACCAGUUCUUGUACAAUCACCAAAGUUAAGUAAUAUCAAGCCUGGUUAGUACUUAGAUGGGUAACUGCUUGGGAAUACCAAGUACUGUAA